GAUGAAGAACGUAGCGAAAUGUGAUAAGUAAUGUGAAUUGCAGAAUUCAGUGAAUCAUCGAAUCUUUGAACGCACAUUGCGCCCGCCAGUAUUCUGGCGGGCAUGCCUGUUCGAGCGUCAUUUCAACCCUCAGGCCCCCAGUGCCUGGUGUUGGGGAUCGGCCCAGCCUUCCUGUAAGGCCGCCGGCCCCGAAAUCUAGUGGCGGUCUCGCUGUAGUCCUCCUCUGCGUAGUAGCACAACCUCGCAGUUGGAACGCGGCGGUGGCCAUGCCGUUAAACACCCCACUUCUGAAAGUUGACCUCGGAUCAGGUAGGAAUACCCGCUGAACUUAAGCAUAUCAAUAAGCGGAGGA
Molecule: unclassified non-coding RNA, 352 nt
Filed under: soil metagenome
Description: partial contains 5.8S ribosomal RNA, internal transcribed spacer 2, and large subunit ribosomal RNA
Rfam family: 5.8S ribosomal RNA (bases 1-120)
Source: RNAcentral